CAGCAGCCGCGGUAAUACCGGCGGCCCGAGUGGCGGCUACUAUUAUUGGGCCUAAAGCGUCCGUAGCCGGGCUGGUAAGUCCUCCGGGAAAUCUGGUCGCUUAACGAUCCGACUUCCGGAGGAUACUGCUGGCCUAGGGACCGGGAGAGGCCGAGGGUAUUCCCGGGGUAGGGGUGGAAUCCUGUAAUCCCGGGGGGACCACCUGUGGCGAAGGCGCUCGGCUGGAACGGGUCCGACGGUGAGGGACGAAGGCCAGGGGAGCGAACCGGAUUAGAUACCCGGGUAGUCCUGGCUGUAAACGAUGCGGACUAGGUGUCGGGCAAGCUAAGGGCUUGUCCGGUGCCGCAGGGAAGCCGUUAAGUCCGCCGCCUGGGGAGUACGGCCGCAAGGCUGAAACUUAAAGGAAUUGGCGGG
RNAcentral lists this ribosomal RNA (414 nucleotides) under uncultured microorganism. RNAcentral's name for it is "bacterial SSU rRNA". It matches the Rfam family "Archaeal small subunit ribosomal RNA", at positions 459 to 872 of the family's 1478-position model. The record is from RNAcentral.